RNAcentral lists this transfer RNA (77 nucleotides) under Thermodesulfobacteriota bacterium. Its description in RNAcentral is "tRNA-Ile". It matches the Rfam family "tRNA". Rfam says of the family: Transfer RNA (tRNA) molecules are approximately 80 nucleotides in length. Their secondary structure includes four short double-helical elements and three loops (D, anti-codon, and T loops). The record is from RNAcentral. Lineage: Bacteria; Pseudomonadati; Thermodesulfobacteriota.
GGGCCUAUAGCUCAGUUUGGCAGAGCGCACGCCUUAUAAGCGGGAGGGCGAUAGUUCAAAUCUAUCUAGGCCCACCA